GACGAACGCUGGCGGCGUGCCUAAUACAUGCAAGUAGGACGCUGAAGGAGGAGCUUGCUUCUCUGGAUGAGUUGCGAACGGGUGAGUAACGCGUAGGUAACCUGCCUGGUAGCGGGGGAUAACUAUUGGAAACGAUAGCUAAUACCGCAUAAUAGUAGAUGUUGCAUGACAUUUGCUUAAAAGGUGCAAUUGCAUCACUACCAGAUGGACCUGCGUUGUAUUAGCUAGUUGGUGGGGUAACGGCUCACCAAGGCGACGAUUCAUAGCCGACCUGAGAGGGUGAUCGGCCACACUGGGACUGAGACACGGCCCAGACUCCUACGGGAGGCAGCAGUAGGGAAUCUUCGGCAAUGGACGGAAGUCUGACCGAGCAACGCCGCGUGAGUGAAGAAGGUUUUCGGAUCGUAAAGCUCUGUUGUAAGAGAAGAACGAGUGUGAGAGUGGAAAGUUCACACUGUGACGGUAUCUUACCAGAAAGGGACGGCUAACUACGUG
This 495-nucleotide ribosomal RNA is filed under the name uncultured bacterium. Its description in RNAcentral is "partial 16S ribosomal RNA". It matches the Rfam family "Bacterial small subunit ribosomal RNA", at positions 28 to 507 of the family's 1533-position model. The record is from RNAcentral.